CUGGCGCGUGCCUAAUACAUGCAAGUCGAACGCACUCUCGUUUAGAUUGAAGGAGCUUGCUCCUGAUUGAUAACAUUUGAGUGAGUGGCGGACGGGUGAGUAACACGUGGGUAACCUGCCCUAAAGUGGGGGAUAACAUUUGGAAACAGAUGCUAAUACCGCAUAAAACCUAACACCGCAUGGUGUAGGGUUGAAAGAUGGUUUCGGCUAUCACUUUAGGAUGGACCCGCGGUGCAUUAGUUAGUUGGUGAGGUAAAGGCUCACCAAGACCGUGAUGCAUAGCCGACCUGAGAGGUAAUCGGCCACACUGGGACUGAGACACGGCCCAGACUCCUACGGGAGGCAGCAGUAGGGAAUCUUCCACAAUGGACGAAAGUCUGAUGGAGCAACGCCGCGUGAGUGAAGAAGGUUUUCGGAUCGUAAAACUCUGUUGUUGGAGAAGAAUGUAUCUGAUAGUAACUGAUCAGGUAGUGACGGUAUCCAACCAGAAAGCCACGGCUAACUACGUG
Molecule: ribosomal RNA, 509 nt
Filed under: uncultured bacterium
Lineage: Bacteria
Description: bacterial SSU rRNA
Rfam family: Bacterial small subunit ribosomal RNA
Source: RNAcentral